CGAAAGCCUGACGGAGCAAUACCGCGUGAAGGACGAAGGUUUUUGGAUCGUAAACCUCUUUUCUCAGGGAAGAAGUCAGUGACGGUACCUGAGGAAUCAGCAUCGGCUAACUCCGUGCCAGCAGCCGCGGUAAUACGGAGGAUGCAAGCGUUAUCCGGAAUUAUUGGGCGUAAAGCGUUCGUAGGCGGUUUUAUAAGUCUGCUGUUAAAGUGCGGAGCUUAACUCCGUAAGGGCGGUGGAAACUGUAAGACUUGAGUGUGGUAGGGGUAGAGGGAAUUCCCAGUGUAGCGGUGAAAUGCGUAGAUAUUGGGAAGAACACCGGUGGCGAAAGCGCUCUACUGGACCAUAACUGACGCUGAGGGACGAAAGCUAGGGUAGCG
This 380-nucleotide ribosomal RNA is filed under the name uncultured cyanobacterium. RNAcentral describes it as "bacterial SSU rRNA". It matches the Rfam family "Bacterial small subunit ribosomal RNA", at positions 376 to 770 of the family's 1533-position model. Lineage: Bacteria; Bacillati; Cyanobacteriota. The record is from RNAcentral.